Molecule: long non-coding RNA, 501 nt
Filed under: Vigna radiata
Lineage: Eukaryota; Viridiplantae; Streptophyta; Magnoliopsida; Fabales; Fabaceae
Description: long non-coding RNA (VRAD_LNC011601)
Source: RNAcentral
AAAGUUGAAGUGUGGUUGGUGAAAAGGAAAGAAGAGAGGAAUGACUUGUGGAGGAACCAUUGAUUUAAUAGGACGUUAUGUGAGAGUGAGGAUGGGAGUGUGGACGAUGAUGAUUUACUAGUGAUGACUCUUUCGGCCGUGUGAUGCGAGAAAGAAAUUCUCUUCGGUCGUGUGAUGCGGGAAGAUGAUGGUCUAAUAGUGGUAAAUCUUCGUCCGGGUGAUGCGGGAAAGAGAUUAUAUUUGGAUGUGUGAUACGAGAAGAGGAUGUCGUGUGACUCGUAGUGAAUUGGUUAUGGUGGUUAGGUGGUGUGGUAGUGUAGAGAAAAUAGACCAUUUAGUGCUAAUGUUAUUGUGAUGUUAAUGUUAUGAUGAUAUAUGUUUAUGAUUUGGUUAUUAUUGUGGUUAAUAUAAUUGUAUAUUGUAUGAUAAGAUAAUUCUAGUUGCUUACCCUGAAAGUUGUGGUUGUGGUUUCCACCUACGAUGAUCGUACUUGUACGAGAG